Molecule: long non-coding RNA, 792 nt
Filed under: Dendronephthya gigantea
Lineage: Eukaryota; Metazoa; Cnidaria; Anthozoa; Malacalcyonacea; Nephtheidae
Description: uncharacterized LOC114544485, transcript variant X2
Source: RNAcentral
UGGAUGGAAAAGUAAAACUGUAAAAUAUAUUCCCUUCAGGUUCUCCUUUGAAAACAAGACUUCAAGGUAAUUAAAACCAGGCAUGGCAACCACAACACCUUCAUCAUAUCGUAUUGCGAAGAAAAUUACCCGCCACUACAAUCAUAUCUCGUUUUUACGUACAUGGCUCAUAAAAGAAUAUCCCGCUCUUUGACUUAUUUAUUACAGAGGAGAAAAAAAUGAAAGCAGUUGCUCAUCCACAAACCUAACACUGCUCAUUGUCACGGCGGUGGUACUGAUAUUCUUUUUUCUUCCGGUGGGUUUUAUCGUCUACUGGUGUACGAAAAAAAAUUAUCUGCAAUGUCAGGGAGAAGGAUUACUGGGCGCUCCCGCCAGGGCAACGACGAUACAAGCAAUUACAUACAGGUCAGCUCCUGCAAAAUCAAACCUCUUCUUUUCUUAUGAAACUCGUGGAGCUGCUCACUCCUGAAGGUAGGCCAAACUGGAAAGAUCUAGCGGCAAAUUUUGGCGAUUUCGCUUACGAGGAAAUCGCGAACUUCGGAGUUGGCAAAACUACAGUGGAGACCAAAAUCACGUCAACCAUCGACAAAUUAUAUAGAUGUUGUCUCAACAUUAAGAAGGAAGAUGUGGCGACGUACAUUGCCGAUUGUGUAAGCCAAAUAACAGACACUACACUUGUGUAGACAAUUGGCCUUUUUUGACAGGCGAUAUCCGCCGUUUCCUGCAUGCCUAUAUGGGUACCAAGUGAGCACACGACUUCGUUUCGACGUGGAAUUUUGGUUGAACUUUUGU